Molecule: ribosomal RNA, 256 nt
Filed under: uncultured bacterium
Lineage: Bacteria
Description: partial 16S ribosomal RNA
Rfam family: Bacterial small subunit ribosomal RNA
Source: RNAcentral
UACGUAGGGGGCGAGCGUUGUCCGGAUUUAUUGGGCGUAAAGAGCGUGUAGGCGGCCAGGUAGGUCUGCUGUGAAAACUCGAGGCUCAACCUCGAGACGUCGGCGGAAACCAUCUGGCUAGAGUCCGGAAGAGGGAGAGUGGUAACUUCGUGGUGUAGCGGUGAAAUGCGUAGAUAUUGGGAGGAACACCAGUGGCGAAGGCGGCUCACUGGUCCGGUUCUGACGCUGAGGCGCGAAAGCGUGGGGAGCAAACAGG